UUUUCUUUUAUAAAAAAACAAUUAAAACAACUUUUUCCGGUGUUUUUUUUUUUUUUUUAACCUACAAACUAACUGGUCUAAUUAAUCAGACCUUUUUGUUUAGUCUUCUGCUCACGUUGACCCGAUUUGAUACAGAUUAGCAUAGCUGUUCUCAGGUGCAAAGGUUUGGUGGCUGCACUGCACACUAUACUGGCUAAUAGAAGAUAACAUAACUGUAAGCAGUAACAUGAUUAUAAGAAUGCAAACCAUGACAACAGCAGUGAAGCAGGUUGAAUAAAUAGCAGUAUACAGUUGCAAGGUUGUUUAUAAGAACAGCUGCUGUGGCUGCACAAAAUCCAACCGGUGGACGCAUUUUAACAGCACAGUUCUAGCAGAUCUGAAAAAUUCAAAAGCAAAGACAUGUUGCAAAGAAUAAUCUGUUGCCACAAAAAUAAGCUACAAACAUACUUUCAUCUCCACUUUAAGCCUCGUAGCGAACACUAACUUACACGGUACCUAAGGACAGUUAUUUUGAAAAAUAAAUCUCAUUAAGUUGCUCCCAACAUUACCCAGCCCCCUGACCAUCCUCUCCCCCAAGCGAAGGCAACUUAGAGCUGUGAAAAUCCUGACAUGCUCACACUAGUCAUUAUUAAAGCAAUAAUAGGUACAUUACCAUUUAAAACAGAACGUUCUUUUUUGCAAUAAAAACGUGAUACAAUACAUGCAUAAUAUGUGAAGAAAUGCAGGUUUUGGAUUCAGUAUCAAACACCUAUAGUAAUGUCAGUGCAUGCAUGUUUGUUAGGGAGUGGUUGAAUGUGCAACUGAACAAAAAAGUUUACUUAGUUACUUUCAGAAUAAAAUUGUUCCGAUAAUUUUGUGCAACCUGAUUCAGUCCCACAUUAAGUAUUACACUUCUGUUGUAAUGUUGUACAAAAGAAGUGUUCUGUUGUACACUUCAAAUUUGUAUUUUUUUUUUUAUUUGACAUAGUUGCCAAACUGGUGCUACAUUACACCCACACCAUUUUAAAAUUAGAAGUUUAUUUUUCCAGUUGUUCUACAUUAAUGUCAUUAAUAUGCUUUGUAGGCAAAGGGUAAAGAAGCGUGUAAUGUUAUAGAGUCAUAUACUUCCGUUUAUGAAGGGCAUAUGAAACUAUAUUCAUUACUGAUUUAUAUUGAUAGCAAUACAUACUAUACAAAAUGAACAAUGCUUGUUAUGCUGUUUUUUUUCCCCCAAAUCUAUUGCACCACCUAGAUCACUAUUUAAAACACAACAAGACACAUUUUAAGUUUUACAUUUUUAUUAGUACACUUUUACAGCAGCAGCUGAUUAGAUUAACCAAGAUAAGUGAAUACGUGACAAGUUGAAUGAAAGCUUUUUUUUUGUUCUUUCCUCGGGGAGGGUGGUUCAUUGCCCUCAGAUUGCUGGGAAGUGCCAAGCAAGCAUUGCUUUGGUCAGCCAGGGAUGGAAGAACUGCAGCAUGAUCGUGGAGGUGGAAGCUGAUCAAUUCUAAUAAGAAGCAGCUGAAGGUGGCAAGAUUGAGAGGAUUAACUCUGAUGUCCCAUCUUAUUGAAAAGGUUUCACAUCCUGAUGGGAGUUUCCAGUCUCAUAAAUUGAGAAUCUACAUUAUUUGGGAAAGACAGGAUUUGAGCUCCUUGGACUGAAGACUUUUUUCAUUAAGGGGCCUCUAACAAUAUAAUUUAUCUGCUUGUUAAUUGGACAAUAUUUUCAAUUACAGAAAUCUCUUGAAAAAUGUCUACUACUGUUCUAUUUCUCUUCAAGGUCAAGCACAAUAUUUAAGGGGCCUUCCACCCCUAGUUUGUUUGGAGAGGAUUAUUCGCACUAGAGUUCAGUUAACACCUUUCGGUUCGUUUGUGCAGAUGUGCAAUGUCAAUAGUAUUAGUUUCACAGAGUGUGCACGAAAGAAGUGAACUAGGAUUCAUCUGAAAGGGUGGUUUCGGCUCAGCUGAGGGGGAACUGUAAUGUGUUUCCUCUUAAAGUUGGGCAGUGUGAAAGCAAUUGCAUUAGAAUUCACAAUGCAACAAAAAACGAAUUAACUGGUGGCGAUGUAAUGCAUAACCCACUGCAUAUAUUAUAAUUUAUAAUUAUUAUAAUUAUAUUAUUAUUUUUACGUUAUAUAUAAAAAGCUUGGUCUCUUGGAUAAUUGGUCUUUCUGACUUAACACACUUUUUCUGCGUUUGUGUCAUUACAAUACAAUCAUAUUGAGACGAGAAACAGGGAUUGAUAGGGACUGCUUACAACUCACCGAUGUCUGUAUAAUGCCACUGACAAUGAAACAGCCGACAAAAAUUGAAAAAAAGCGUUCCUCCUCAUCUGUCGCCUUUGUAAAUGUCUCCUCCUUGCAAAUAAAGCAGCACAAAAACAUUGGUUUUGCUCAACUGUGUUUUUAUGCUUGUAUAAAAAGGGGUUACAGUUGUGUAAAAAUCAUAAUUUUUGUCUUGUUUUGUAUAAGGAUUGCUGUUAGUGUGGUACGGAUAUGUACUUGGAACUGAAAUGUAUUAUCUACAUUUAAAUGAUUGCCAAAUGUGUGUCUGCAAAGUUACUGGUGUGUAUUGUAGCCAGCUGUGGUAAAAUCCAGCAUGAGGAAGUUAUCCUGACCAACAUAAUAAACUGCUGAUUUAGUUAGAAACCUCAGAGUGUUUUUUGUUUCUGUGUUUGUGCAUUGCUAAUAAUUUAGCUGUUUAGUGGUUAUCCCAGAGUGAGCUGCUGUGGCCCUUGGGGCAUGUGUGACUGAGUUAUCAGGUCCCUAAAUCUGUUUUAUUAAGGUAAUAGGACAGAAAGGUAACAUUUGUUACAUUUACUAAAACAAAAUAAUACAAAUGUAUACCUUUAUUAAAAAUGUGCACCGAUUAAUCUACUAAAACAAAUAAUGCCCAUAAAUGAACCGAUCAAAACUUUUAAUUGAGUGACAGCCCUAAUUUUAUGUUAUAUGAAACAUAAAUUGAGUAAUGGAAGUGGGUUGUUAAGCUCUUUCCUGAUAGUAGAAUUUUAAAUUAACACUGCAAAAGCAAUUGAUUUGUAAUUGUUCCUAUAAUAACAAUAAAUUGAGUUGUAAUAGGAAAAUCAGCUACUUAUGUACAUUUUAAGGCAUACUCCAUUUAAUUUAAAUUGACUAUGAUGUACAACCAUAUGGUACGGUACAGUGUGUUAAUAUUUUUGAGCAGCACAUCUAAUUAACAGCAACACAGUUUGAUAGUUUGGCAUUUGGAUGAUUUUUCAUUAUUGCAAAUUAUCAUUUAUUAGCAGUAGUCUACAUAACCAUGCAUUAUAGCUAUAUCAACACCAACGUCAAUAUCUGCACAUCAAAGCUGUCACACACAGACAGCAUUGUAAAACCAACUUCAAGGGAACCAUAGUUUAUUUGCUUUAGUAUAUGUGAAAACCAGCCCCCACUCCUCUCUCCCCACGCUGCAUUUAAGGUAUGUGUUGUUUUUCAAUUAACAUGUCUUGAGGGGUAUUGGGGGAGCUUGUGCUACAAAAUGCCUUGUAGUAAUGAGUUUAAAAACAAAAAUAAAAAAAAUAAAAAAGUUAAUCAUGGCUUAACAAAUACUGACUUGUUUUUUUUAAUUAAUGUAACUAAUUUGAAUGAAAUAUUUUGUGAAUUUCCAUAAAACACCAUCGUCUUUUAGACGUGUCAUUUUGGGAAAUGUAAACAGGCAGCUGAGGUUUAUCAAGGUAUAUUUGCUGUGUGCUUUUACUGGCAUUAU
Long non-coding RNA from Polyodon spathula (Mississippi paddlefish), 3705 nucleotides. RefSeq lists it as uncharacterized. The record is from RefSeq and is a predicted model, not a curated record. Lineage: Eukaryota; Metazoa; Chordata; Actinopteri; Acipenseriformes; Polyodontidae. The transcript is spliced from 3 exons.